GACGAACGCUGGCGGCGUGCUUAACACAUGCAAGUCGAACGCUGAAGCUCAGCUUGCUGGGUGGAUGAGUGGCGAACGGGUGAGUAACACGUGAGUAACCUGCCCUCUUCUUUGGGAUAACGCCCGGAAACGGGUGCUAAUACUGGAUAUUCACUGAUUCUCGCAUGGGGGUUGGUGGAAAGGUUUUUUCUGGUGGGGGAUGGGCUCGCGGCCUAUCAGCUUGUUGGUGGGGUGAUGGCCUACCAAGGCUUUGACGGGUGGCCGGCCUGGGAGGGUGACCGGUCACAUUGGGACUGAGAUACGGCCCAGACUCCUACGGGAGGCAGCAGUGGGGAAUAUUGCACAAGGGGCGAAAGCCUGAUGCAGCGACGCCGCGUGAGGGAUGGAGGCCUUCGGGUUGUAAACCUCUUUCGCUCAUGGUCAAGCCGCAGCUUUGGGUUGUGGUGAGGGUAGUGGGUAAAGAAGCGCCGGCUAACUACGUG
Molecule: ribosomal RNA, 482 nt
Filed under: uncultured bacterium
Lineage: Bacteria
Description: partial 16S ribosomal RNA
Rfam family: Bacterial small subunit ribosomal RNA
Source: RNAcentral